Molecule: ribosomal RNA, 326 nt
Filed under: uncultured eukaryote
Lineage: Eukaryota
Description: partial 18S ribosomal RNA
Rfam family: Eukaryotic small subunit ribosomal RNA
Source: RNAcentral
CCCUUAGAUGUCCUGGGCCGCACGCGCGCUACACUGAACGGAUCAGCGCGUUUUCCCUUCCCGAGAGGGACGGGUAACCUGCUGAACCCUGUUCGUGGUAGGGAUCGGGGCUUGCAAUUAUUCCCCGUGAACCAGGAAUGCCCAGUAAGUGCAAGUCAUAAGCUUGCGUUGAUUACGUCCCUGCCCUUUGUACACACCGCCCGUCGCUACUACCGAUUGAACGUUUUAGUGAGGUACUCGGACUGAGCCUCAGAAGAUUCACGUCUUUUGUGCUGCUCGGGAAGAUUCCCAAACUUGAGCGUUUAGAGGAAGUAAAAGUCGUAACA